Molecule: ribosomal RNA, 468 nt
Filed under: uncultured bacterium
Lineage: Bacteria
Description: partial 16S ribosomal RNA
Rfam family: Bacterial small subunit ribosomal RNA
Source: RNAcentral
GACGAACGCUGGCGGCGUGCUUAACACAUGCGAGUCGAACGGAAAGGCCCUGCUUUUGUUGUGGGCUCGAGUUGCUAACGUGUCAGUAACACGUGAAUAACCUGCCUGUUAUUUUGGGAUAACUGCAGGAAACUGGGGCUAAUAGCGGUUAGUCGCGCCUGGUGCGUGGGGUGGGUUGGAAAGUUUCGGCGGUUGGGGUUGGGCUCGCGGCUUAUCAGCUUGUUGGUGGGGUAGUGGGUUAGCAAGGCGUUGACGGGUAGGCGGCCUGCGAGGGUGACCGGCCACAUUGGGAAUGAGCUACGGCCCAGCCUCCUAGGGGAGGCAGCAGUGGGGAAUAUUGCACAAUGGGCGGAAGCCUGAUGCAGCAACGCCGCGUGCGGGAUGACGGCCUUCGGGUUGUAACCCGCUUUCGCCUGUGACGAAGCGUGAGUGACGGUAAUGGGUAAAGAAGCACCGGCUAACUACGUG